Molecule: small nuclear RNA, 206 nt
Filed under: Sorex araneus (European shrew)
Lineage: Eukaryota; Metazoa; Chordata; Mammalia; Eulipotyphla; Soricidae
Description: 7SK RNA (ENSSARG00000018658.1)
Rfam family: 7SK RNA (bases 1-172)
About the family: 7SK was discovered as an abundant small nuclear RNA in the mid-70s but a possible function has only recently been suggested. Two independent studies have found that 7SK RNA binds the CDK9/cyclin T complex (known as elongation factor P-TEFb). P-TEFb activates transcription by phosphorylating the C-terminal domain of RNA polymerase II.
Source: RNAcentral
GGAUGUAAGGACAAUCUGGCUGCAACAUGUCACCCCACUGAUGGCCAGAGAUGAUCUGCCUGAUUUGGCUAGCUAGGUUGGUAUCCCCUUCCUCCCUCACUGCUCCAUGUUCCUCCUCCUCUUGGUACCUUGCCAGGUUCUCUGAGAGGGAGAACUAGGCUAUAAGUUUGUGCGGCCACAAAUGUGGCUUCCAGGAACCGUUGUUU